UUUAGGUUUUUUUGUAAGCCUUUAAAUGAUAAAGUAUAACUUUCAACAACGGAUCUCUUGGCUCUCGCAUCGAUGAAGAACGCAGCGAAAUGCGAUAAGUAAUGUGAAUUGCAGAAUUCAGUGAAUCAUCGAAUCUUUGAACGCAUCUUGCGCUCCUUGGUAUUCCGAGGAGCAUGCCUGUUUGAGUGUCAUUAAGUAUCUCAAAAGCUUAAGCCUAUUUUGUGGCGUGAGACUUUUGGACAAUGGGAGUUGCCGGUCACUGAUGAAAGUGGUGGGCUCUUCUGAAAAGUAUUAGUUGAGGAACUUUGGACUCUAUUGGUGUGAUAGACUAUCUAUGCCAGGAGAAGCUUUAUGAUCCUCUGCUGUCUAACUGUCUUCAUUGGACAAACAUGAUGAACUUGACCUCAAAUCAGGUAGGA
RNAcentral lists this ribosomal RNA (419 nucleotides) under Amanita sp. 2/08. RNAcentral describes it as "eukaryotic LSU rRNA". The stretch from base 38 to 191 matches the Rfam family "5.8S ribosomal RNA". The record is from RNAcentral. Lineage: Eukaryota; Fungi; Basidiomycota; Agaricomycetes; Agaricales; Amanitaceae.